UACAGAGGGGGCAAGCGUUGUUCGGAAUUACUGGGCGUAAAGGGCUCGUAGGUGGCCAACUAAGUCAGACGUGAAAUCCCUCGGCUUAACCGGGGAACUGCGUCUGAUACUGGAUGGCUUGAGUUUGGGAGAGGGAUGCGGAAUUCCAGGUGUAGCGGUGAAAUGCGUAGAUAUCUGGAGGAACACCGGUGGCGAAGGCGGCAUCCUGGACCAACACUGACGCUGAGUGAGCGAAAGCCAGGGGAGCAAACGGG
This 254-nucleotide ribosomal RNA is filed under the name uncultured bacterium. RNAcentral's name for it is "partial 16S ribosomal RNA". It matches the Rfam family "Bacterial small subunit ribosomal RNA", at positions 524 to 776 of the family's 1533-position model. The record is from RNAcentral.